RNAcentral lists this small RNA (1862 nucleotides) under Pan troglodytes (chimpanzee). Its description in RNAcentral is "retained intron". The record is from RNAcentral. Lineage: Eukaryota; Metazoa; Chordata; Mammalia; Primates; Hominidae.
CUCCGCCUCGGCAGUGCCAGCCGCCAGUGGUCGCACUUGGAGGGUCUCGCCGCCAGUGGAAGGAGCCACCGCCCCCGCCCGACCAUGGCCGAGGAGCUGGUCUUAGAGAGGUGUGAUCUGGAGCUGGAGACCAAUGGCCGAGACCACCACACAGCCGACCUGUGCCGGGAGAAGCUGGUGGUGCGACGGGGCCAGCCCUUCUGGCUGACCCUGCACUUUGAGGGCCGCAACUACGAGGCCAGUGUAGACAGUCUCACCUUCAGUGUCGUGACCGGCCCAGCCCCUAGCCAGGAGGCCGGGACCAAGGCCCGUUUUCCACUAAGAGAUGCUGUGGACGAGGGUGACUGGACAGCCACCGUGGUGGACCAGCAAGAUUGCACCCUCUCGCUGCAGCUCACCACCCCGGCCAACGCCCCCAUCGGCCUGUAUCGCCUCAGCCUGGAGGCCUCCACUGGCUACCAGGGAUCCAGCUUUGUGCUGGGCCACUUCAUCUUGCUCUUCAACGCCUGGUGCCCAGCGGAUGCUGUGUACCUGGACUCGGAAGAGGAGCGGCAGGAGUACGUCCUCACCCAGCAGGGCUUUAUCUACCAGGGCUCGGCCAAGUUCAUCAAGAACAUACCUUGGAAUUUUGGGCAGUUUGAAGAUGGGAUCCUAGACAUCUGCCUGAUCCUUCUAGAUGUCAACCCCAAGUUCCUGAAGAACGCGGGCCGUGACUGCUCCCGCCGCAGCAGCCCCGUCUACGUGGGCCGGGUGGUGAGCGGCAUGGUCAACUGCAACGAUGACCAGGGUGUGCUGCUGGGACGCUGGGACAACAACUACGGGGACGGCGUCAGCCCCAUGUCCUGGAUCGGCAGCGUGGACAUCCUGCGGCGCUGGAAGAACCACGGCUGCCAGCGCGUCAAGUAUGGCCAGUGCUGGGUCUUCGCUGCCGUGGCCUGCACAGUGCUGAGGUGCCUGGGCAUCCCCACCCGCGUCGUGACCAACUACAACUCGGCCCAUGACCAGAACAGCAACCUUCUCAUCGAGUACUUCCGCAAUGAGUUUGGGGAGAUCCAGGGUGACAAGAGCGAGAUGAUCUGGAACUUCCACUGCUGGGUAGAGUCGUGGAUGACCAGGCCGGACCUGCAGCCGGGGUACGAGGGCUGGCAGGCCCUGGACCCAACGCCCCAGGAGAAGAGCGGAGGGACGUACUGCUGUGGCCCAGUUCCAGUUCGUGCCAUCAAGGAGGGCGACCUGAGCACCAAGUACGAUGCGCCCUUUGUCUUUGCGGAGGUCAAUGCUGACGUGGUAGACUGGAUCCAGCAGGACGAUGGGUCUGUGCACAAAUCCAUCAACCGUUCCCUGAUCGUUGGGCUAAAGAUCAGCACUAAGAGCGUGGGCCGAGACGAGCGGGAGGAUAUCACUCACACCUACAAAUACCCAGAGGGGUCCUCAGAGGAGAGGGAGGCCUUCACAAGGGCGAACCACCUGAACAAACUGGCCGAGAAGGAGGAGACAGGGAUGGCCAUGCGGAUCCGUGUGGGCCAGAGCAUGAACAUGGGCAGUGACUUUGACGUCUUUGCCCACAUCACCAACAACACCGCUGAGGAGUACGUCUGCCGCCUCCUGCUCUGUGCCCGCACCGUCAGCUACAAUGGGAUCUUGGGGCCCGAGUGUGGCACCAAGUACCUGCUCAACCUCAACCUGGAGCCUUUCUCUGGUAAGGCCCUGUGUUCCUGGAGCAUUUGUUGACUGCCAACUGACAACAUGCUAGGUAGUGACCUAACCAUUUAGCAUGUGUGAUUUCACCCCACAGACACUUACAUGGCGCUGACUCUGGGGCAGGCCCUGUCCUAAGCACUUUAUAAAUAUCAACCCACUUA